AUGCCUAAAGUCGUCUCUUGUGCUCGUACCGCUACACAAACUAUCGGUAAACACUUUUCGUGCAACUCUUUUCCGUCUGUCCACGAUGAUGACGCUGACACCGUCAUAGUGACAUCCUCCCAUAUGACAAGGAGAGGACGUCGAUUCCUCUGUAGCGCCUGGCCGUCAAAGGUGCAACAAGGAAAUCAUGUCAGGCAAACACCAAAACUGGAGUUUGAUCGGGUCGUAAUGUCUACGAAAAUACUGGAAAUAAUAGAGCAGUUGAAACCUCUGAGUGCUAUGGUCUCCACCAUUCUCAAUCUAGAACUACUUGGCUCCACCCGUGCCCAAGACAUUACGAACCGACCCAAAACCACACCAAAUAUUAUAGAGCCUAAGUUGUAUGGAAGGGAUGAGCUAAAAAACAACAUCAUUGAUGGCAUCACACAUGGUAAAUAUUGUACCAAUAAACUCACCGUAGUUCCACUUGUUGGUCCAGGAGGUAUUGGUAAGACAACACUCACGCAACACAUAUUUAGAGAAUUGGAGGGUUCUUUCCAAGUUUCAGUUUGGAUAUGUGUAUCUCUCGAUUUUAAUGCAGAUAGGUUGGCAGAAGAGAUCAUGAAAAAGAUACCUAAAGUGAAUGAUGAAAAAGAUAAUUCUACGAAUCAAGAGGUAAUUGCACAAAGAUUAGAAUCUAAGCGGCUUUUACUUGUUUUAGAUGAUGUGUGGACAUACCAUGGAGAUGAGUGGAAAAAACUAUUAGCUCCGUUAAGUCAAACGGGGGGAUAA
This 771-nucleotide ribosomal RNA is filed under the name Triticum aestivum (bread wheat). RNAcentral's name for it is "partial small subunit ribosomal RNA". The record is from RNAcentral. Lineage: Eukaryota; Viridiplantae; Streptophyta; Magnoliopsida; Poales; Poaceae.